This 188-nucleotide unclassified non-coding RNA is filed under the name uncultured Ascomycota. RNAcentral describes it as "sequence contains ITS1". Lineage: Eukaryota; Fungi; Ascomycota. The record is from RNAcentral.
CCGAGUUAGGGUCGCCUCCGCGCGCCCGACCUCCCAACCCUGUGUCUAAGUUACCUCAUUGUUGCUUCGGUGGGCCGACCCUCACGGGUCGCCGGGCCUUGAAACCGCCUGGAGAGCGCCCGCCGACGGCCAUCAACCAAAACUCUUGACCUAAAACUGUCGUCUGAAUUACUUGAUUAAUAAAUCUA